UGGUGAUCCUGGCAGACGAAGGCAGCGUCCACGGGACCCUCCAGGCCCAGCUCCUCCUUUAGGGGUUUGGGGUACCCAUCCAGAAGGUUCUGCAGGUGAAGAUUGACCACCCACUCACGGACACCCACCCCUGAAGGCGUAGACGUUUCCUGCGUCGUCUGAUGUGAUGGCAUCCAGAAGAUGACGGAGUCUUCGUGACCUACCCUUGAAGAAGAUGACGGAGUCUUCAUCACACUCGGGCUUGGGGCACUCCACUGCAG
Molecule: long non-coding RNA, 260 nt
Organism: Hypomesus transpacificus
Lineage: Eukaryota; Metazoa; Chordata; Actinopteri; Osmeriformes; Osmeridae
Exons: 3
Source: RefSeq, a predicted model, not a curated record